UUCCUGAUCGUAUAACGGCUAGUAUGCUCGCUUGUCACGCGGGAGAUCGGAGUUCGAUUCUCCGUCAGGAAG
Molecule: transfer RNA, 72 nt
Organism: Trichosporon asahii var. asahii CBS 8904
Lineage: Eukaryota; Fungi; Basidiomycota; Tremellomycetes; Trichosporonales; Trichosporonaceae
Rfam family: tRNA
About the family: Transfer RNA (tRNA) molecules are approximately 80 nucleotides in length. Their secondary structure includes four short double-helical elements and three loops (D, anti-codon, and T loops).
Source: Rfam